AACGAACGCUGGCGGCAUGCCUAACACAUGCAAGUCGAACGAGACCUUCGGGUCUAGUGGCGCACGGGUGCGUAACGCGUGGGAACCUGCCCUUAGGUUCGGAAUAACUCCCCGGAAGGGGUGCUAAUACCGGAUAAUGUCUUCGGACCAAAGAUUUAUCGCCUUUGGAUGGGCCCGCGUUGGAUUAGCUAGUUGGUAGGGUAAAAGCCUACAAAGGCGACGAUCCAUAGCUGGUCUGAGAGGAUGAUCAGCCACACUGGGACUGAGACACGGCCCAGACUCCUACGGGAGGCAGCAGUGGGGAAUAUUGGACAAUGGGCGAAAGCCUGAUCCAGCAAUGCCGCGUGAGUGAUGAAGGCCUUAGGGUUGUAAAGCUCUUUUACCCGGGAUGAUAAUGACAGUACCGGGAGAAUAAGCGCCGGCUAACUCCGUG
This 433-nucleotide ribosomal RNA is filed under the name uncultured bacterium. RNAcentral describes it as "partial 16S ribosomal RNA". It matches the Rfam family "Bacterial small subunit ribosomal RNA", at positions 29 to 507 of the family's 1533-position model. The record is from RNAcentral.